AACAUGCUGCUGAACCUUUAUGUUGUCUGAAUUGAGUAAUUUCUACAUUUAUUUCCUUCAUAUAUGAUGAGAAUUCUUCUUGUUUGGGAAUCGACAGUUGAUAAUAAUUUACUUCUGUAUUAGGACUGUAUAAAGGCUCUUCGGAGGUUCCCAGAGAGCAAAAGAGUUGUCAAUAUAAGCUUAAAGGCAGGCUGGAGGCAAUGUUGCUUGAAGCAAACUGGUCCUGGGACAAUGGCAGAAAAGGCUUACACAAGCCUUUUAGAGGAUAAUCCUCUUGAUCAAGUAAACUCACUUAACCUUAUUGGGGAAAAAUUGGGAGAGGGACUGUCAGUUAGUUGACCAGUUACGUUAUGUGAUGAAACAUAAAUCUUACCAUAAUAACCUUUUUUUUUUUUGUGUUUGUCUUGCCAAUUUCACUUGAUAUAUGACAUUCUUUCACUUUAACCUUUAAAAACGGCCUGGCUGGUUGAGUAAUGAAAACCAAAAAGGGGCAACCGUAUGCUGAAGAGCUCCCACCAUAGUGGGAGUUAGGGGGAGGGUUGGACUUCAUUUGCCAAAUUCUUUACAGAUCAUCCAUAAAGAGGAGGGUGGCUAUGGUAAAGGCACAAGGCAAUAUUUCUGGGACUAUUGAAUGGCUUAAUAAAUAUCUGGAAAUGUAAGACAGCUGUUGAUAUUUUUUCCUUCUGAAAUUGAGGAUAAAAGGAAAGUAUUGUUUAUAAUUUACAUCAGAUAGAAGUGAAGAACAUACAUCUGAACUAUUUAUCUCACUUUCACAGAUUCAUGGCAGAUCACGAUGCAUGGAGGGAACUGGCUGAAAUAUACUUAUCGAAAAACAUUAUCUUGACUUAAAUGAUAUUGUUAGGUACUUUAUACGCUUGGCGGGUUAGAAAACGUCCAAACUGCCAAGAAAUACUAUGCAUUGACUAUUGACUUAACUGGAGGCAAGAAUACCAGAGCACUCUUUGGUAUAUGCUUGGCUUGUGCACUUCUGCUAUUGCACAACUUACAAAAGGGAAGAACAAGUAAGAUAAAGAAGGAUCGCAGUUACAAUCUCUAGCGGCCAAAGCGUUGGAGAAGGAGUACAAGCAGAGAGCUCCUGAGUCCUGACAAGCUUCCUCAUAUCUUACAACUGCCUUGAAGAGUUUAACAUUAUCAUCAUGAUGCAGCAUUUCUUAAAUAUAUUGUUAUUUAACCAACUUUUUGGCACUUUCUUAGAUCAAUAUACUAGCAUGAAUCAACAUAUUUAGAAUUCCUCAUUUAUUUUCUUUUCAAUAUUAAAAUGAGAAUUCAUUUUGUUCUG
Molecule: long non-coding RNA, 1300 nt
Organism: Trifolium pratense (red clover)
Lineage: Eukaryota; Viridiplantae; Streptophyta; Magnoliopsida; Fabales; Fabaceae
Exons: 3
Source: RefSeq, a predicted model, not a curated record